RNAcentral lists this long non-coding RNA (545 nucleotides) under Brassica rapa (field mustard). RNAcentral's name for it is "long non-coding RNA (BRAP_LNC006827)". The record is from RNAcentral. Lineage: Eukaryota; Viridiplantae; Streptophyta; Magnoliopsida; Brassicales; Brassicaceae.
GAGUAUCUAUCUUUCACUAUAUCAGUUAUUUAUAAUUAUAUAUUUUCAAUACUUUUAUCAUUUGCUCAUAAUCAUAUAUUAUUGUUUGGCAUGAGAAACUAUGUGUAUGAGUUGUUUAAUAGAUUGUCGCUAAUAGCUUCGUCUUCUGAAACAGUUGCAGAUUUUGACCUCACUGCAACUCUUCAUCAUAAAAAAGAUUACCGCAAGCAUGAAGUCCAAUAUCUAAUCGUGCAACAACCAUUGAAGAAUCAGUUUCAUUUACUACAAGAAACAGUCCUUAGGUGACUCGAUCUCUUUCCUUUUCUCACUUCAUCGCUAUGCACAAAAAGAAUCUCACUUCUUACUGCAUAAAAACCCCCACCAAAAAAGGGGUUUUUGACAAUAAAAAUCUUAGGAAUACUCUUUUGCAGUGUUUGCAAGGAACGAGAAGCAUCUGUUGGGAAAGAAAAGGGGAAGCCUUUUGUGUAUUCAUAAGAUUUUUAUUGUUCAAAAACCCCUUUUUUGGUGGGGUCCGUUGUCGGCCACCAAAUGUUCUAUCUCUUGAC